GUGCUCACUUCGGCAGCACAUAUACUAAAAUUGGAAUGACACAGAGAAGAUUAGCAUGGCCCCUGUGCAAGGAUGACAUGCAAAUUUGUGAAGCGUUCCAUAUUUCU
This 107-nucleotide small nuclear RNA is filed under the name Bos indicus x Bos taurus (hybrid cattle). Lineage: Eukaryota; Metazoa; Chordata; Mammalia; Artiodactyla; Bovidae. The record is from RNAcentral.